This 234-nucleotide long non-coding RNA is filed under the name Elaeis guineensis (African oil palm). RNAcentral describes it as "long non-coding RNA (EGUI_LNC079388)". Lineage: Eukaryota; Viridiplantae; Streptophyta; Magnoliopsida; Arecales; Arecaceae. The record is from RNAcentral.
CCUACCACUCCUAGGGACAGAGAGCUUGGUCACCAUGUGAUGCAAAAGCCUCAUUUUUACUGAAAGUAUCUUGUCUUUUAAUCUAUUUAAACUUUCAGUAAAAGUUCUCUCUAAGAUAAUAUUAAUUCAUUCUUCUUUGAUUGGGAGCUCCAUAUUUGUAUAGCCUUCACAAGGCAAGUGCAGGAUUUAUCCCAAAUACAAUGGAUCAAGAAUAAUAUUAACACCUUUCACGGU